GGAGAACGAUAAUCCGAGUAAUGUUUAGGUCUAUAUUCUAUCGGUUGUCAGAAGUGCUGUCGCUUGGAGGAACAAAGGCGGAGCAGUGUCGUUGCUUGAAGGGGUAUCGAUCGAUUAGAUUAGUUUAGGCAAGUCUUCGAGGUUUGAUGGAGCACCGUUGUUGUGAGGAAGAAGAAAAGUUGCGGGUUCAAUGGAUGGUGUGAUCCGCUUGACGGUAGUCAUCUUUGCAAAUGUCCAUCUUGAGGGUGUGACUAACUUGAAGAAGCCAUCAAUUUGAAAUAGUCUUGAGAAAGUGCCAUCAUCAUGUUGUAGCCAAUUUGAUAUUGUCUUGAGAAGCGGCCAUCACAAAUAUAUGACUGACAUGAGGUCGUUUGAAGAAGGGACUAUCAUGAUAGUGCGAUUAACUUGAGGUCAUCUUGAAAAAGUAACCAUCAUGAUGGUGCAACCAACAUGAGUUUGCCACAUGAGGAAGCAACCGCUAUAGCAAGUAUGUGUAUGAGCAUCUUUUGACCUUAGAGUGAGAUCCAAUUUUGGACACAUAUUACCCCCCCAACACAAGGUCAAUCAUCGAGCAAAGUGUGUGACAUGCACAUUGCAGCACUCACGAUCACACAUAUCCUAAUUGGACAAAGUGUGUGACAUGCUUGAUAUGACCCUCGUAGACAUUGUGUCUUCAUUCUAUCGAUACAUUCAGUGUAUGACAUGCCCGAUGUAGCCCUCAUGACCAAGUGUCACCUUAUGCUCGAUAUGCCUUAAUCAAGCAAAGCAUGGAUUCACUCUCACGACCCUCAUGGCUAAAGCACAUCCCCACACUCGAUGCACCUUAAUUAUACAAAGUGUGUGACACAUUCGAUGUUACCCUUGUGGCCAAUGUGUCUUCCGACAUUUGAUGCACCCAACAUGACCUUCACCAUCAACACGCCUCCUCAUACUCCAAUAUGCCUUAAGCAUAUGAUGUGUCCCAUGUGGCACUUGCAACCAAGGCAUCUCCCCAC
Molecule: long non-coding RNA, 995 nt
Filed under: Musa acuminata (dwarf banana)
Lineage: Eukaryota; Viridiplantae; Streptophyta; Magnoliopsida; Zingiberales; Musaceae
Description: long non-coding RNA (MACU_LNC009525)
Source: RNAcentral